AGCGAACGCUGGCGGCAGGCCUAACACAUGCAAGUCGAACGAACUCUUCGGAGUUAGUGGCGGACGGGGGAGUAACACGUGGGAACGUGCCUUUAGGUUCGGAAUAACUCAGGGAAACUUGAGCUAAUACCGGAUGUGCCCUUCGGGGGAAAGAUUUAUCGCCUUUAGAGCGGCCCGCGUCUGAUUAGCUAGUUGGUGAGGUAAAGGCUCACCAAGGCGACGAUCAGUAGCUGGUCUGAGAGGAUGAUCAGCCACAUUGGGACUGAGACACGGCCCAAACUCCUACGGGAGGCAGCAGUGGGGAAUCUUGCGCAAUGGGCGAAGGCCUGACGCAGCCAUGCCGCGUGAAUGAUGAAGGUCUUAGGAUUGUAAAAUUCUUUCACCGGGGACGAUAAUGACGGUACCCGGAGAAGAAGCCCCGGCUAACUUCGUG
RNAcentral lists this ribosomal RNA (433 nucleotides) under uncultured bacterium. Its description in RNAcentral is "partial 16S ribosomal RNA". It matches the Rfam family "Bacterial small subunit ribosomal RNA", at positions 29 to 507 of the family's 1533-position model. The record is from RNAcentral.